UACGUGGGGAGCAAGCGUUGUUCGGAUUUACUGGGCGUAAAGGGCGCGUAGGCGGCGUGACAAGUCACUUGUGAAAUCUCCGGGCUUAACUCGGAGCGGUCAAGUGAUACUGUCGUGCUAGAGUGCGGAAGGGGCUACUGGAAUUCUCGGUGUAGCGGUGAAAUGCGUAGAUAUCGAGAGGAAGACCUGCGGCGAAGGCGGGUAGCUGGGCCGACACUGACGCUGAGGCGCGAAAGCCAGGGGAGCGAACGGG
This 253-nucleotide ribosomal RNA is filed under the name uncultured bacterium. RNAcentral's name for it is "partial 16S ribosomal RNA". It matches the Rfam family "Bacterial small subunit ribosomal RNA", at positions 524 to 776 of the family's 1533-position model. The record is from RNAcentral.